AUGCCCAGGGAAGGCAGGGCAGCCUGGAAGUCCAACUACUUCCUUAAGAUCAUCCAACUUUUGGACAAUUACCUGAAAUGCUUCAUUGUGGGAGCAGACUAUGUGGGCUCCAAGGAGAUGAACAAGAUCCCCAUGUUCCCUCAAGGGAAGGCUGUGGUGCUUAUGAUAGGCAAGACCACCAUGAUAUGAAAAGCCUUCUGGGGGCACCAGCUCUGGAAAAAAAUGCUGCCUCAUAUUUGGGGGAAUGUCUUCACUAUUUGGGCUUGUCUUCUUCACUAAGGAGGAUCUCAUCAAGAUUAGGCUAAUCAGGUGCUACCUGCUGCCAGUGCUGGUGCCAUCACCCCAUGUGAGGUCUCUGUGCCAGCCCAGAACACUCAUCUGGGUCCUGAGAAGGCUCUUUCUUCCAGGCUUUAGGCAUCACAACUAAAACCUCCAGAGGUACCACUGAAAUUCUCAGUGAUAUGCAGCUGAAAAAAACAAGAGACAAAGUAGGAGGCAGUGAAGCCACACUACUGAAGAUGCUAAACAUCUCUCCCUUCUCCUUUUGGGUGCUCAUCCCUAGCCAAGGCUGAAAGCAAGGAAAACUGAGAGGAAUCACAUAAGAAUAUGAUAUUUGGAAUCUUUGACUAA
RNAcentral lists this long non-coding RNA (630 nucleotides) under Mus musculus (house mouse). RNAcentral describes it as "long non-coding RNA chrX:155179280-155179910". Lineage: Eukaryota; Metazoa; Chordata; Mammalia; Rodentia; Muridae. The record is from RNAcentral.